Molecule: ribosomal RNA, 1856 nt
Filed under: Arsenophonus endosymbiont of Triatoma melanosoma
Lineage: Bacteria; Pseudomonadati; Pseudomonadota; Gammaproteobacteria; Enterobacterales; Morganellaceae
Description: bacterial SSU rRNA
Rfam family: Bacterial small subunit ribosomal RNA (bases 1-1510)
Source: RNAcentral
CGAUUGCGGCAAGCCUAACACAUGCAAGUCGAGCGGCAGCGGAAGGAAGCUUGCUUCCUUGCCGGCGAGCGGCGGACGGGUGAGUAAGGUAUGGGGAUCUGGCCGAAGGCGGGGGAUAACCACUGGAAACGGUGGCUAAUACCGCAUAAUCUCUAAGGAGCAAAGUGGGGGACCAUUAUGGCCUCACACCUUCGGAUGAACCCAUAUGAGAUUAGCUAGUAGGUGGGGUAAAGGCUCACCUAGGCGACGAUCUCUAGCUGGUCUGAGAGGAUGAUCAGCCACACUGGGACUGAGACACGGCCCAGACUCCUACGGGAGGCAGCAGUGGGGAAUAUUGCACAAUGGGCGCAAGCCUGAUGCAGCCAUGCCGCGUGUAUGAAGAAGGCCUUCGGGUUGUAAAGUACUUUCAGUCGUGAGGAAGGUGUUAAGGUUAAUAGCCUUAGCAAUUGACGUUAGCGACAGAAGAAGCACCGGCUAACUCCGUGCCAGCAGCCGCGGUAAUACGGAGGGUGCGAGCGUUAAUCGAAAUUACUGGGCGUAAAGGGCACGCAGGCGGUUAAUUAAGUUGGAUGUGAAAUCCCCGGGCUUAACCUGGGAAUGGCAUUCAAGACUGGUUAGCUAGAGUCUUGUAGAGGGGGGUAGAAUUCCAUGUGUAGCGGUGAAAUGCGUAGAGAUGUGGAGGAAUACCGGUGGCGAAGGCGGCUCCCUGGACAAAGACUGACGCUCAUGUGCGAAAGCGUGGGGAGCAAACAGGAUUAGAUACCCUGGUAGUCCACGCUGUAAACGAUGUCGAUUUGGAGGUUGUGGUCUAGAACUGUGGCCUCCGGAGCUAACGCGUUAAAUCGACCGCCUGGGGAGUACGGCCGCAAGGUUAAAACUCAAAUGAAUUGACGGGGGCCCGCACAAGCGGUGGAGCAUGUGGUUUAAUUCGAUGCAACGCGAAGAACCUUACCUACUCUUGACAUCCAGCGAAGCCUUUAGAGAUAGAGGUGUGCCUUCGGGAGCGCUGAGACAGGUGCUGCAUGGCUGUCGUCAGCUCGUGUUGUGAAAUGUUGGGUUAAGUCCCGCAACGAGCGCAACCCUUAUCCUUUGUUGCCAGCGAUUCGGUCGGGAACUCAAAGGAGACUGCCGGUGAUAAACCGGAGGAAGGUGGGGAUGACGUCAAGUCAUCAUGGCCCUUACGAGUAGGGCUACACACGUGCUACAAUGGCGUAUACAGAGAGAGGCGAGCCUGCGAGGGGAAGCGGAACUCAGAAAGUACGUCAAAGUCCGGAUUGGAGUCUGCAACUCGACUCCAUGAAGUCGGAAUCGCUAGUAAUCGCGGAUCAGCAUGUCGCGGUGAAUCCGUUCCCGGGCCUUGUACACACCGCCCGUCACACCAUGGGAGUGGGUUGCAAAAGAAGUAGGUAGCUUAACCUUUUGGAUGGCGCUUACCACUUUGUGAUUCAUGACUGGGGUGAAGUCGUAACAAGGUAACCGUAGGGGAACCUGCGGUUGGAUCACCUCCUUACCUAGAUAGAUGGAAUGUGAGUGUUCACACAGAUUGUCUGAUGAAGAUUGAGCAGAAGGUAUCAUUAGGCUUGUAGCUCAGGUGGUUAGAGCGCACCCCUGAUAAGGGUGAGGUCGGUGGUUCAAGUCCACUCAGGCCUACCAACAUUGCUGAUGGAUGUGGCUGAAAGGUAAGGUUAGCAGGAAGGUGUAAUGAUACGACAAUCUUAAUGGGGCUAUUGCUCAGCUGGGAGAGCGCCUGCUUUGCACGCAGGAGGUCAGCGGUUCGAUCCCGCUUAGCUCCACCAUAUUGCAAGAUAAAAUAUAGAUAAAAAGUUAUUCAGAGCAGGCUAAUCACUAGUGAAUUC